AGCUUUCUGGGAAUAAAUUUGAACUUAAAUUUCAGUCUUAAACUGAUUUCGAGUUUCAAAGUUAUUUUGUGAUAGUUGAGUUUUCAAGAAAAAGAUUACAAAAAUGGCAUGGUCUCUCGUCUUGAUGUCUUCAUGUGUCCAAUAAUUCUUUCUGAAUUUUUGUAAAUUGUCCCAUAUUAGAAAUGAUGAUGAUAGCAAAACUACUGAUGGGGAGGGUUGACAUAAAAACAACUGUCUUUUAGCUUUCACUGACAAGUCCAUCUAAAACUUGGUCGGUAAUUAUCUUCUUUGGCAUAUUUUUUUUUUAAAUCAUCGGAUAUCCUAAUGUGUAGUAAUUAUAACUGUCUAUUCGUCACGAGCACAUCACUUAUGAAAGGCCUUUGAAUUGGCUAUUUUUUGGUUAAUUGGUAGGUGGGGAUAUCCUUGCGCAUUAUUAACACUGGACUUUUACAGUUUUGCUUGAGAUGUUUAAACCUUCCUAGUCGACCAAGGUAUUCAGCAUUCUUGAAGACAAAGUUGCAGGUAAUACGUACUCUUUGCCUUUAGGAUGAAAUGUUCGCGAAGCUAGAUUCUUAUAUGCCUUUUUCCCAUGUUCUUGCUUGCAGUUCCUUUUGGAUUUCUUUGCUAAAAUCACUGUACACUUUAGCUGCAACUGGAUUAGAAGUCCAAAACAAAGAAGAGAGGGAGGGAGGGAGGGAGGGAUUGGGAAUAAGUAGUAUUUCGUUUCUUUUGUAUGAAAAAACUUUUAAUUUUUAGAAAGCUCCCGCUCUAUUAUGUGUUUUAUUUGUAUUGCAAGGUCAAAGAGAAAAUUUGCAAGAAG
Molecule: long non-coding RNA, 820 nt
Filed under: Nicotiana tabacum (common tobacco)
Lineage: Eukaryota; Viridiplantae; Streptophyta; Magnoliopsida; Solanales; Solanaceae
Description: long non-coding RNA (NTAB_LNC011113)
Source: RNAcentral